GGGGGUGUAGGCUUAACAGGCAAACCGCAGGUCUCCAAAACCUGUUUGCGAGUUCGAACCUCGUCAUCCCCG
Candidatus Woesebacteria bacterium RBG_13_36_22 is the source of this 72-nucleotide non-coding RNA. The record is from Rfam. NCBI's taxonomy places the organism in Bacteria, Candidatus Woeseibacteriota.